UACGUAGGGGGCAAGCGUUGUCCGGAUUUAUUGGGCGUAAAGAGCGUGUAGGCGGCUGGGUAGGUCCGUUGUGAAAACUCGAGGCUCAACCUCGAGACGCCGAUGGAAACCCCCCAGCUAGAGUCCGGAAGAGGAGAGUGGAAUUCCUGGUGUAGCGGUGAAAUGCGCAGAUAUCAGGAAGAACACCCGUGGCGAAGGCGGCUCUCUAGUACGGUACUGACGCUGAGACGCGAAAGCGUGGGGAGCGAACAGG
RNAcentral lists this ribosomal RNA (253 nucleotides) under uncultured bacterium. Its description in RNAcentral is "partial 16S ribosomal RNA". It matches the Rfam family "Bacterial small subunit ribosomal RNA", at positions 524 to 776 of the family's 1533-position model. The record is from RNAcentral.